Long non-coding RNA from Cygnus olor (mute swan), 1584 nucleotides. RefSeq lists it as uncharacterized. The transcript is spliced from 3 exons. NCBI's taxonomy places the organism in Eukaryota, Metazoa, Chordata, Aves, Anseriformes, Anatidae. The record is from RefSeq and is a predicted model, not a curated record.
AAGUUCUCCUUUAAGAAAAGGAACUGCUCCUUAUGCAUAUUUAACGCCGGGUGUCUGCAGUGCCCAGAUGACGCGGGGCUGGAGGCUCGCAGGCAGGACCUGAGUUGUAGGGGAAGUAAAGGAGCCACCCUUCACCCGCACCCUCUCGCUGGGAGCCCCUUGCUCUGAACCCAUGCUCCCUCUGAGGAAAGACCAAUUCUGCUGGCACCCCGUGUCUGGGCUUUGGAAGGCAUGGCAGAGCAGCUGGAUCUGAAAGCACCAUCCCCAUAGGCAGAAAUCCUCCUCUACACCACGCGCCUUGCAAGGAAGGCAACGAGGGGACACGUGGAGAGCCCAAACGUCUGGCAUCGAGGAGCAGAGAUCCACCUCGCACUGCCCUGAAGGAAAGUUUGUUCCCAAACUGAUUACGCUGUGGCGUUCGGUGCUGGUGUCAAAUCGGUUCAAGCCAUCCCAAGUGUAAAAUAAAGAUCUCCGCUUGGGUACGCCCGUCGUGCCAGUGAGCGUGUCUUGCUAACCCUCCUGUGUUUGCCUUGAAGGUAUUGAGCUGAUGCAGCGCUGUCUUUUCACCCCACCGACGUGCGCAAUAGGAACAAUUCAGGAAAGUUAUGUUUAGCUUUUUUUUUUUUUUUUUUUUUUUGCCCUUGCAGCUGAAGAAAUGCAAGCUAUCAGAAACAAGCCUAUGUUUGAAGUCCUCCUAGGAUGAGGUCAUUCCACAAGAUCUGGCUGCAUCGAACGCCAAGAUCUUAUCUCCGCCGAUCUAAGGAGCAACACAGACGACAAGCUAGCAGAAGUGGAAAGAAAUUUGGGAGACAAACAUUCAACAAGGUGCCCCCGGAGGCCCCUCUGCCGCCCUCCCCAGCCCAAGCACCCACUCGCUCCUUGCACGAGCUGCACCCCGCAGCGUGGGGCUGAGCCCUCCUGCUGCACCUUGAAGUUUUUCCCCCCUUUUUCUUCCUUUUUGCACCGAUGCUCGCCUCCCUAACGCGCUGGUGGGCUGCAGCUUAAUACAUAUAUGCAUUUUUCCCCCGUGGCUCCGAAAGUCUUGAUGUUUUUUUGAUUUCAGCAAACCGAAAACGGAAGGGGGGGGGAGAGAUGAUGCUCGGCUGAGGGACUCCGAAAGGUUUCGCUUUCCAGCUAUCAGCAGCACCAGGAGACAGCUCCAUUAAAAAAAAAGUAGUUUUCCACUGCUCUUGAAAAGCCGUUAUUUUUUACAUCGCUUUUAGGGAGAUAGAUUAACAAAACAUCACAUUUCAAGCCACUCUGAUCUGUAAUUAAACGGGGGAGCCGGUUUGUAUUCUCCUAUGGCUUUUACAGAAGUUGCAGUGAUCCAAAGUCAGGUUGCUGUGUCAGAGUGGCAUUUUUAUUAAUGAGAAUACAAAAAGCUUGCAUAUUCUUAGCCCGGCUUGAAUUUAGUUGCUAAGCAACCGCUGUAUGGUAAUUCAUCCGCGAAAUUUAAAUCGGGGAGAAAGGAUCGUGCGGUUUUUUGCUCAAUGGGCGCCACGAGGAACACAACUUGUGGGACCCGCAGCAGCCGCAGCCGCCACCGAGCCGCCCGCCCGCCGCACCCCGGCACGGCCCCGGACC